GACGAACGCUGGCGGCGUGCCUAAUACAUGCAAGUAGAACGCUGAAGAGAGGAGCUUACUCUUCUUGGAUGAGUUGCGAACGGGUGAGUAACGCGUAGGUAACCUGCCUUGUAGCGGGUGAUAACUAUUGGAAACGAUAGCUAAUACCGCAUAACAAUGGAUGACACAUGUCAUUUAUUUGAAAGGGGCAAUUGCUCCACUACAAGAUGGACCUGCGUUGUAUUAGCUAGUAGGUGAGGUAAUGGCUCACCUAGGCGACGAUACAUAGCCGACCUGAGAGGGUGAUCGGCCACACUGGGACUGAGACACGGCCCAGACUCCUACGGGAGGCAGCAGUAGGGAAUCUUCGGCAAUGGGGGCAACCCUGACCGAGCAACGCCGCGUGAGUGAAGAAGGUUUUCGGAUCGUAAAGCUCUGUUGUAAGUCAAGAACGGGUGUGAGAGUGGAAAGUUCACACUGUGACGGUAGCUUACCAGAAAGGGACGGCUAACUACGUG
This 497-nucleotide ribosomal RNA is filed under the name uncultured bacterium. Its description in RNAcentral is "partial 16S ribosomal RNA". It matches the Rfam family "Bacterial small subunit ribosomal RNA", at positions 28 to 507 of the family's 1533-position model. The record is from RNAcentral.